GGAGGAAGAAAGUAAAGAAAUGGAAAAGGGAAGCCUUCAACAAGAAAGGGGAGAAAAGUGAGUCCAAUUCCGUUUGCUGUAUUUCUUGCUAUUUCAGCGGGCGCUGUGAUGUGGUAGAGCUGGAACCAGUGGUCUCCUUAUAGAAAGAAAAGGACGCAUGUGAAAAAGAAGACAGUUCUUGUUAUCAGUACAGACUGGCCAGGCUGAAUUGGCAGAAAAAUCUGGCAGGUGAUGCAGAUGGACUCUGUGUUUUGCUGUUUGUGCUUCUUUCUCCAAGCAGAACAUAGAAACUCCCCAAUGGUGCCUUCCCCACCACUGCAGACCAGAAACAUCUUGCAAAGAAGUUCUCCAGAAAACUCACACAUGAAGUCCUAGAAUAUUAUUUUUAUAUCAACAUUGCUAUUGUUACAAAGUCAAAGAUAAAGGUGCAAAACAAAAAGCAAACCCCGUUGCAACCCACAAUAAACAUACCAUGCAUUUAUGGGUGUUUUAAGUGGAAAGGAAUGAAGUUCAGCGCCUGGGUAAUUUGCACUUUGCACAGAACAUCUGUUUUAUGAUUCUUUCUCUCACUUAUUAUAUGGAGCAGACUGUGUGUAAACACUGUGUGUCCUGGCCCCAGGCUACACCCUGCAUCUUCAUUCGUCCCAGUCUUCAGAUUUGACCGAGUUCCUUGGAAACCCAGCAGGGCCUGCUAGGAGAAGUGAGUUAAACCCUGGCUCCUCGCUGCAGCCCUGCUGCUGACCUCUCCACGUGCGAGGAGGAGAAGCCACGCUCACCCUCACCAUCCUCACUAGCUGCUGGGACCUGGGGAGCGGGGACGGCUGUGAAUAAUGCCAGCGAUGCCCGGGAGUGCAGAAAGGCAGCACGACUCCUCUGAAGCUCGACACAGGCUGCUGGUCAGCUGUGGCCAACUAAUUGUGCCCCGGCAGCUUUUGAAAUGAAGGGGGAAAGCAGCUGAAAGGGCCUCUUCAAAGCCGACCGAGUCCCCGGAGGCUGAAGGUGCAGCACGGUGUUUGUUUGUGAAAGUCGGGCGCGUCUGGCUGCCCGGCCGUGUUCAGCCGAAUGGCUGGCUGCGUAUAUUUAGCAGCAGCUCUGACUCCUCACUGAACUCGGCCCCUGUAAUUAACACAUUCGCUCCUGCUAUUUGCUUCAGGGAGCCAGGAGGACCCAGGGAAAAACACCAGUUGUGAGCGGGCUCGGAGCAGCCGGCCCUGCUGGCCCUGCAGAGCCUCGGAGCAGCCUGGCUGAGGGUACCUCGAGCUUUGGGGUGCCAGCCCCAAGCACUGCCCUGCCACAGGUGUUGUCCUCAUGGGAAGCCAGGCAGCUCUUGCUUGUUUCUUUGUCCCCAGGUUGGGGAUGCUGCUGCUGCACAGCACCGCUAGGCGAGGAGCUGGACGUGGGACACCUGCCCGGCCUCACCCGCACCUUCCCCACCUUCUGCAGGCUCUCUCUGCUUAGUUCCUCCCCUGAUUGUUCAGCCAGGGCCCAGAUAGGAAUCAAAUAUCCCGAUUCAGUCUAAUUCCAAACACUAGCUGUGUUUACCCCUAAUUUUAUAACUCUUCCCCCAAGCCAAGAGCCAAACCAAAGAAAAAAAAAACACCAGUGAAGAGCGCCGUGCUGCAACAAAGCAUUGGCAACAGGCAGGCCCAAGCAAAUACAGGGGUAAGUGAACGUAACGUGGCACUUUUACCUUUUGCUUCAGCACAAAAGCACCCAGCUGAGUAAACCCAGCUUCUCCACGUGGGAGGGAGCCGGUGCCAGCCCUGCAGCCCGGUGGCACCGGGCACACAGGAGACGCACCGGGUGCUGCAGGGGUGGGAAGAGUCAAGCCCGAGGAGCUGGACUGGAGUCAUUGCUCCCGGGGUAAAUACGCAGGCAGUUCUGCAGCUGACCUGGUAGCAGCGCCAGUGAAGCUAAAUCAGGUCUGCUUGCCUGGCCCGACAUGAAUGUGGUCAUAUUUCUAAGAAAUCCGAGUAGCUGGAUCCUCAGAAAUGCUCAAAACACCCAUAAUUUAAACAUGUUAGAGCUGGAGGAUGCUUGUCCAUGCGCUAGCGAGAAAAGGAGCAAGCCAAAAUGAGUUCAGCACCAAUUUUUAUAAACUAGACUGGAAAAUGUUUUAAGACAACUCAGGAACACGCUUUACUGCUGCUUUACAUAAAGAUAAAAUUUGCAAGAUGCUGAAUACAGCAAGGGUCCCGCAUUUUUGUCCUGUUUUGUGGGAUUUUGGAAGGGCAGGUUUGCUCCCUGGGCCGGGCAGGGCAGAGGCUCAUUUCCUGCUGCAUGAACCACAGCUGCAAAAGGGGCUUUGGAGAGCAAGAAGAUUGCAUCAGAGCCAAUUUCGGAAGAACAGAGACGAGGAAAAAGACAAAAAGGAAAGCAAGCAAGCAGAAUAAAUCUGAAUGUAACAAAAUUAUAGUCUGUAUUGAAAACUCAACAUUUGGAAUCGAUUUUUUCCAUCAGACAAAAGGCUGAGGGUUUCGCUGUUGAAAUAUCAGCCUCUUUUUAAACUUGUGCUAAAUGUCAUAGCUAGACAAGCUGCAGGUGAAACACCAAGAAGAAAGAACUGAUGCAAUCCGACAAUAUUUUACUGUCAAGUGUAACGUGAUGCUCUUGCUUUGCUUGCUUUGUUUUCUUGUUUCCUGCCGCGUAUUUGGUGCAGGUUUCCUAUGUUCCAUCAGGUGGCUCAGGUUCCCUUAAUUUUCUGGCUGCCUCCCAUUUCUAUUACCCCCUCCCUUCACUUUUAGGGAGCAAAAGCCUGUCUCCCUUGUGGCAUAACGUUAACACCAAAAGUUUCAGCUUAAUUAUGUGUGCAGGGGAAAAGAGUUUUAUUUGCAUGCCGUAAAUGUGUACGAAGCUGGAAACGAACAAAGCUGCAGCACCUUUGUGAAAACAGCUUGCCUGUGAUCAGAGCUCCUUCUGCUCCAUUUUAACAUGGGCUUUCAAUUGUUUCACUCUAGUUCUCCUUUCUCCAUUGUCUUUCUUCAGAGCACUAUUGCUUUCCUAUCUGGCAUUUUCCUCACUGUCCCCAAGCAACCUCUUUUACUUGCUCUCUCCUACAAUAACCCCAUUCCUCAUUAUUGUUUCCAUUCCCUUUUUUUGUUCUUUCGCUUGAUCGAGGCCUGGGGGCCCCAGCUCGGUGCUGGGGGCUCCACGUCCAGCCUCAGCACUCAGCUGACACCUCGGAGCUGGAGCACUGUCCCCAGCGUGUCGGCUUGUGCUGUGUGCCAUUGCAGGAGAGGCUCGCCAUGCUCUCCGACGAGCAUUGUAUAUCUGCUUUGCAGGAGCAGACGUAAUCUAUCAAAGUGCAGAGCAGCAAUGAAUCAGGUCUUUGAUGCAAAUAAGAAGCAGCCACAUGGCACGAAGCAUUUGGGAGCACUUCAGGCUAAAAAGGAAAAAAAAAAAAAGAAAAAAACAGAAAAAGAUGCAGCUGUGAAGAAUACAAAUAUUGGCUCCUCGAGGAACCCUCCAUAUUGUAUCCAUUAUUACAAUCUACUUAUUUGUUCAGGGCUAAUGCUCUCCAUUUUGAGAUUGUCAUGGAUCUGCUUUCCCAUCCUCAGGGAAGGUCUAUGUGGCAGUCAUCUGCAGGAGGUGGCUGCAGAAGGAGCCCUUCUCCCCUUGUCUGGCUGGCAGAGCUGAUUGCUGUGUGAGAGAACCUGCUAUUAAAAUGAAUAAGGACCCUUUUGUGCAUGAGAAAGAAGAAAAAAAAAUUGGCUUGUUCCCACCUUUCCCAUCUUCUCUUGCUAUGAAAAAAUCUGAGCUGCCUUUCUCGUUGCAGCUAUUGUGAGUGCCUUGUAAUGGAAGCUGCUGGAGGUGCGGGCUGUUAUAUCCCUUUUGAAAGCUUCUCUGCAGAAACGUGAAGUGCUGGCUUUGCUUAGUUCCCUGUACAUUUGGUGCUCUGGCAAGGGCUGCCCACGUGGCUCUGCAGGCUGUGAGCAAGGCCCCGAGCAGCUGAGAACUGAGGUUAUCUCCUGCUGCCCAGUGUGGGUUUGUCACUGAGACGCCAGCCGAGAGUUUUUUCUCCCAUCAUCUAUGGGAAAAGGAGAAGAGAGAAGGCAAAGCUCAAAGCUGUGGCCAUGCACGGAGUCGUGGUGGUGCUCCGUGUGUUUGGCCCUCAGGUCCACUCCUGUGGAUUCAGGAGAAACCUUUCAACCUUUGUGUCCUGCCUGAAACGAGCCACCUGAACAAUGCUUUGGCAAAAUAAAGGGAUUAUUAAGGA
Molecule: long non-coding RNA, 4216 nt
Organism: Anas platyrhynchos (mallard)
Lineage: Eukaryota; Metazoa; Chordata; Aves; Anseriformes; Anatidae
Source: RefSeq, a predicted model, not a curated record